This 486-nucleotide ribosomal RNA is filed under the name uncultured bacterium. RNAcentral describes it as "partial 16S ribosomal RNA". It matches the Rfam family "Bacterial small subunit ribosomal RNA", at positions 29 to 507 of the family's 1533-position model. The record is from RNAcentral.
AUUGAACGCUGGCGGCAUGCUUUACACAUGCAAGUCGAGCGGCAGCGCGGGGGCAACCCUGGCGGCGAGCGGCGAACGGGUGAGUAAUGCAUCGGAACGUAUCCUCGAGUGGGGGAUAACCCAGCGAAAGUUGGGCUAAUACCGCAUGAGCUCUGAGGAGGAAAGCGGGGGACCUGCGAGGGCCUCGCGCUGGAGGAGCGGCCGAUGUCCGAUUAGCUAGUUGGUGGGGUAAAGGCUUACCAAGGCGACGAUCGGUAGCUGGUCUGAGAGGAUGAUCAGCCACACUGGGACUGAGACACGGCCCAGACUCCUACGGGAGGCAGCAGUGGGGAAUUUUGGACAAAGGGGGCAACCCUGAUCCAGCCAUGCCGCGUGAGUGAAGAAGGCCUUCGGGUUGUAAAGCUCUUUCGGACGGAACGAAAUGGGCGGGACUAAUACUCCUGUCUGAUGACGGUACCGUAAGAAGAAGCACCGGCUAACUACGUG